RNAcentral lists this transfer RNA (76 nucleotides) under Chloroflexota bacterium. Its description in RNAcentral is "tRNA-Asn". It matches the Rfam family "tRNA". From Rfam's summary of the family: Transfer RNA (tRNA) molecules are approximately 80 nucleotides in length. Their secondary structure includes four short double-helical elements and three loops (D, anti-codon, and T loops). The record is from RNAcentral. RNAcentral also lists the same sequence under 2 other names. Lineage: Bacteria; Bacillati; Chloroflexota.
UCCUCGAUAGCUCAAUCGGUAGAGCGUGCGGCUGUUAACCGCAAGGUUGUAGGUUCGAGUCCUACUCGGGGAGCCA